Molecule: transfer RNA, 72 nt
Filed under: Bos taurus (domestic cattle)
Lineage: Eukaryota; Metazoa; Chordata; Mammalia; Artiodactyla; Bovidae
Also listed under: 5 other names
Rfam family: tRNA
About the family: Transfer RNA (tRNA) molecules are approximately 80 nucleotides in length.
Source: Rfam by way of RNAcentral
UCCCAGGUGGCUCAGCUGGUAAAGAAUCUGCCUGCAAUGCAGGAGACCUGGGUUCAACCCCUGGGUUGGGAA